GAAUAUAACUGCUGGUCAAGGCAAGGGUAAAUUCCCAAGGCAAUGAGGAGUAGAGAAAUUGGUGCUAAACUGGAAUGUAUGUAUAUAUUUGAACAAAUGAUUCCUUUAUUGUUAAUCAACACCAAAAAAAUGAUAAGAGGCUCUUGUUUUCUUUGGCCAGAUUCCUUACACCUACGUUAGGAUUGUUCAUUAUAUCCCCCCUUUCAAACUGAUUAUAUCGUUGGGCUCCAAUUCUCUUACAAUUAUGACACAACGAUUCGAAGAUUUAUGGUUACUGCAUUGAACAUGCUCUUUUCCAAGUGCGCUAUGUUUCAGAAUGAAGCUUAAAAAAUGUGCGCAUUUAUUUAUAUCCUUUAGAAGAAUUACAUUAUGUGAUUGGCUGACAUCCUCACAAUUUGUUUUAUUUGCCCGUUUCAGCAGCUCAGUGGAGGGGAAGAAGUGGCUGAUGUCUGGAAAACAAGCAUAAAGAGGCAUAGUUUGGUGAGCUGUCUAGUAUCAAAGGGAUAUGUGUGGGGUUUAGUUCUCGAAAUACUCUGAAGUGUAGCUAAAUGGGAUUUUCCUGAUGACCCUGAAAUUGUUGUGCAAGGGUUGGCUGUAAUAAGUUCUUUUGUUGUCAUAUCUUUGACUCUUGUAUGAUUUCUUAUUUGGGAAUGUGUGCUACAUUUGCUUCCUUGUGUGAAGUGAGGUUCCAGGCUCAUGUAGAACAUGCAUGUUUUUCCUUUUGGUGAUUUUGAUUGCAAUAGAUUCUGCAGAACAUGUUUUGGAAUAGAUGAUUUGGAUGCAUGUGGCUUGAGGUUUUCUAUUAAUGAGGAUGAUCGAUCACACACGCUUAAAGCGUUUCUCUAUCCUUUGCACAGACUUGCUUCAUACUAUGUCAAAAGCAGGUUGGUAGCUUCCCACCUCAAGAAAGUUCCCUCUCACUCAAUUCUAUAACAUGUUCUAGGGCAUCUUUUUCUAAUAACAAUGUUAGCGGCACUUUUGAGAUGCUGCCUUGAAAUUGAGUCUUGUCAGUUUCAUUUGACUCGGGGCGUCAGGGACCCUCCAACAGAAACCUUGUCUUUUUUGUAGUCGAUAAGUUCUUCCUCCUAAAAUGUCUAGUCUACUCCGCAAAUGUAUGCAGUGAACAAACCACUCAAGCAUUUGACAUAGUAUGAAGUUGCUUUUCUCUUAGUUUUGAGCUGUGACUUUGAAAGAAGUUCUUGGUAGGUAGCACUUACCUCGAAUGUGCUCUAUAGUUGGGCUCCAUGUAAACAUUGGAUGGAAGCCAAUCUUUUUUUAGUUACUUUCAUGAGAAGUAUUUUCUGAAAAUGUAUUUCAUGAUUAUCGAUUUGAGGGUGGAAAGUACUUUUGAAAUGAAUAUAUAUUAUAUAUAUAUCAAAGAUUGAUAUUAGGUAUUUUGAUUGAACUUUUGAGGACUAGGGAAUAGGGAUAAUAGUAAUGUCUGAGCGUCAGAUGGAACAAGUUAUGCGAAUUAAAAGUUAAGAUAAUUAUAGGUAAAAAAGGUCAUUAUUAGGAAAUCAUUUUUCCUCUUUGAUGAAAUAUUUUACUCAGAUCAGACCCCUAUUCUAAAGACAUUCGUUUUCUAUUUCCAGAGUCCUAAUGUCACUUUGAAAUUUUUUGGUAAAAAUAAUGAUUUCACUAAGGGAAGAUAGACAUAUUGUACAAAAGAAAGGAAUAUCAAAUGGGCGGCUUAAACUUCAGCCAUGGAAGGAUGAAGUUUCGUACAUUUAAUAUACAUACAUAAAAUACAUGCCGAACCAACUUGUGCACACCUAAACUAGUCCACGGGCGAAGUCAGGAAGCUGAGUUGAAGCUUGCCACAUCAUACAAGUACAAGUGUCUGGUAAACUUGUCCACCAAGAUAGGAGCAAAUGUGCUCACAUGUAGUAUUAUAGCUAGAGGUGUCCUCGCGGAGCCAUAAAUGUAGUUAACUUACUCAGGUACAAAAGGGGUUGGUUCACGACAGAGAUUUCUGAUAUUGUCGAACCCAGUUAUCAUAAUCCUGAAGCAGUUGUUGCAAUAGCAACGGUACUAGCCUGUCCACUAAAGCUUGCAUCAUUCUGUGUAAAACGUGAUUCACCAUUAGGAUUGAGAAUUUGAGAUGAAGUACAAAAGUUACAGAAAUAGGAAAUAGAAUUUGAUUUUAAACAUGAUCAUUGUGUAUGAAAAUUAUGAUGGCCGUUUCUAUUUUGCUAUAGAAAUAUCAUUUUGAAAAUGGAAAUGAAAUGUCUGCAAAGUGCAGAACUAUGUUUAUGCAAUAAUAAAAGAGUGUUCAACUGAAUUGGUCACCAUUAAAACUAGUACCAAAUCUAUGAAGACCUCUAUGUUCAUUUAUACGCUGAUAAGCUGAAAUUAUCAAGAAAAAGUGUCACUGCUAACUGGUCAUGAUCAACUUAUCUUCUGGAGCGAAGGGAAUUAUAGAUAGAACUUGGCAAAUGGAAACAUGCAGACGUACUGAGGUUCAAUGAGAUGGACUAUUCUUAGUGCAAAUGAUUCCGAAGAACUGUAUCUCUAAAAUCUAGCAAGGACCACUCAUGACCCUCGGAUUCUUUGCUUUAAUAUGGACCUUGCUCUAAGAAAAAUCCAGGCACAACAACACACACAUAUCAAUAAACAGAGUGUUAAUGUGUAAUUUAAACUGCAAUAUUUGUUUUUAUUACCAUUUCCGAUUACAGAGAGUAAAGACAGUGUAGCAAUAGACUUACAUGUUACCAGGACUCUCAACAGCAGAAGUAGGCAGCAUGGUGAAUGGCAUCGUAUAUAUCUGCAAGAACAAUCUAAGGUGACGACUCCGAUCUGAGGGUCAUAAUAUUCAAGAAACUUCUCUUGUCAAUAUGAUAAUUGUACUGAAGUUGUAGAUAUUCAAAGGAAACAUAUCAAAAAUACGUUUCACUGUGGCAUGAAAAUAAUCUAGUCAUUCAAAUACAUUUAGACCUCGGUUUUGUGAAGUGGAACAAAAAUUUGAAGAUUGAUCGAUCGUUCAUGACCCAUCAGAUCUGGUUAAAUCCCACAUACCACGUUGUGAUGUCACUAUGCCUGACUCCAAGUCUACAACCAGAUGGAUCAGUGAUAUUUACCUUGGGAAGUUCAGACUUGAACAAAACAAGAAAUUGUAACUUGAGAAUUUACAGGGAGCACAGUUAAAAAGUUCAUCCCUAUUCCAAUUAAGCCUUAACAAGUCAAUGAUGAGAAAAGUAACCUUAGAUUCUAUACAUAUAUAUGACACUAUAAACAUAUAAUGUGUUAUCAAUCUAACAAUCUUGAUAAUAGGUCUUUUUGCUUCCUACUGUUUUAUGGAUGUCAUGCUAAGAGUACUUUUCUCUGAAUAGCAGGUCCCUCAUAGAAGCAUAUCCAAAAGGCAUAAAUAAGCAUAGAUAACUAGAGAGGCGGCUAUCAUUCUACAGAGGAACAAUAUUUACUUUUCCUGAUUACGUGGGUCAAGGGUUCAAGCCAUGGAAUCAGCCCUUGAUGUGGUGUCAGGGUAAGGUAAGCUUCUACAUGACACCCCCUUGGGGUGCCUUCCCCAGACCUGCAUGAACGCGUGAUGCUUCGUGCACCCUGCUGCUCUUUUAGUUAGGAAAAAUAUGCUACUGUAAAUCAUAUAUGAGGACAAGGAAGUACUCUCUUUAUCCCUUGUUGUAUGUAUCUAAACAUGCACGAGCAUAAAGUGAUGUUGUCCCAGAGAAAUUCUAAGAUGAAGAACCGGUGGCCUUUUGUUUCUGAGAAGCUUUUCUACAUUUGUCAAAGGAGAUUUUUCAUGAAGAAUAAGCAUAAAAUAUUUAGGGAAGAGAGUGAUAAUAACCUCAAGAGAUAUAUUCAAUUUCACAUCAACAUCGAGGAAAGUCUGAGACCCAACUGUUUCCCACGUUAUAUGGUUUACCAUUGAUGCUGCAAGUUAAAAACACAUUGCAUGUGUUUAAACAUGUAAUUAUAAAUUAUGAUAAAUAUGUUACAAAAGCUCAGCUUCGUUCAAUUUGAUAAAAAUUGUCAUGCUCGAAUGUUGUUUUGGUAUACCUAAAAAGUGGUCAUUCUGCUGCUCUACCAGAUCAGAACCCUCAAACUGCAAUGAACAUCAGAAUUUAGGAUUAUAUAUCUUCUUAAAGGAUAGCUUAACUGUAAGAAACACAAAUCUCAGAUUUAAAUGGAAAAAAAGAAGAAGAUCCCAGGACAUGUAUCUCAAUCGCAAUGAGGGAGUAUUAAGUUAUAUGUGGGGGAUGCUAACGUCCAGAAGAAAACUGUUCUCUUGCAUGUACAAAGACAGGGGAAAUUAAACCUUAACUCACUCCUUGCUCCCCUCCUCUUUCUAUCACUCCCUCUUCUCUAAUGGUACUAACUACCUUAAAAGCAGAUAGCUGCAAAUGAGAACAUUAUCACUCUCUGUAUCAAUUGCAUAACUGGCGAUCAUACAAACAUGAAUUCAUAAGAAGUCUUCAGACAACUAAAGAUCUACGAGCCUUUAGCUACCUCAUGAAAGAAAUCAAUUAGAACCUCAAUUGUGAUAGAAACUUUUGAAGAUUCUUGGUCUAGAAGAAACAGGUGUUGGACAGCACAUCAGAGAUACUAAUUCCUUCGGUUUGGGUGAUGUUUCCAGAAUAAGGAGCCUUACCUUGCAAGACAACAUCUCCACAGUGCAGUCUUCGCUGGUCGGGUUCACUUUUAGUGUCAAAACAGGGGCAACUUCAAAAUUCAGAAGUUGAACUUGUGGAAGAGUACACCUGCAAUUAAAUCAUAAUCAGCAAGAUCUUAGAACUCUUAUAUGGGAUGAAUAGGCUGCGGAGGACACAUGAACAAUUUUCUCUGAUGAAGAUUGGAGUAUCUAAUAUCCAUACAUGAAUGUUCCUGAUUUUCAAUCACCAAAUAGAAAGGUACUAGCACUAAAGUAGUCAAAUGCUCUCAGAGACUACAGGCAAUUUCUAUAAUAUGAUUAUUUGACAACUCCACUGAACAGUUCUAUCCGGAUCUCCUAAUCUAUGCUGCACUUUACCCUUUCUUUUGAUGUGCCAUAUCUUUGAUGGAUUCCUCAACAUACACGGAAAAUAUGCUAAACGUUAACCUUACAUUGGUAACAUAUAAACUAAUAAAAGUCUAAGACACAGCUCAAAGAUUGCAAUAUAGUCCUUGAGGAUUUCAUAUCUUCUCGGUUUACACACUUGUUUUCCAGGUAUAGGCCGGUGGUUACCUUCUGGAACUGAAAUCUGUUCUUCCAAAUGCUUAGAGUACCUAAUUAACCAUAUCAUCUCCUCCGUUAAGGUAAAUAGGUUAAUUAAUGUGUACUGAUAUCCACACACUAAAAGGGAGGAGAAAAUUAUUUUUACCCCAAGUUUGAUUCUCUAUUCAAGAAGCCAAGAAAGGGUUGCUAACCCCUUGCUUCUAAGUUCUAACUAAGAGUUGGGAGUUUAAGUCACAAGGGAGGUAAAUAUGACAAAACACUGUUAGGCCUCGGGGAAGGGGAAUUAGGGGCUGGAGUUUACCAAACUAAAAAAGGUAUCUUUAUUUAAGAAAAUCAAUCAUCUGACAUCAUCUACUCAAGGUUGACAAAUUCUGGUCAUCUAUGCUACAGAACAACCAGAUUUAUAUAUUCUGCUCACUAAGAUGCUAUAGUAAGAUUCCAUAAAAGUCUCAAAAAAAUAUUGAAGUAGUAAUAAUUAGUGCAAAUGAUAGCCAUGUUCUUUUCAACAUAAAUCCAGUGGGAUUUCAGAUCUGAAUAAGAAGUUAGGCUACUUAGCAUGUCCAUUGUUGAUUAGUCGCUAUUGGAAUUCAUUAGUCAUCUUUCAUAUUUGGAGGGUAGAAUCUCAUUUAUAUGCAGUUCUACUUUAUACAUCAGAAGAUCUUGCUUGGUAGUCGCUGGAGUUUUUGUUGCGUAAGCUGCUGGUUGCACAUUUCUUUGCCCCACAUUCAAUUGGCUCUUGCAAACAUCCGUUGCGACUUGGUUAGUGUUACUGGAUGCUCAUAAGAAUUGACUUUUAAUUAAAUGAGCCUCUGUUUUAGCUACUUUCUUUCUAAGUGGUAACAGGACAACUGGCAGUUUUUUCAUAAGUUUCUUUUCACAAAGAGUUGCAGUAAGUCUUGGUUUAAAAGUGGUGCCUUGUGGUCAGGAGCACUUAGCUUAUUAGCUUUUAAUUAUAAAAAAUGUUUAGGUUAUAAUCUUAUGUUGAUAUCACAAGCACAGGGAGCUAAUAACAUUCUUCUUUUGAAGAUCGAAGUGUGAACCUGGGGAGAGGGGCUGAUAUACCAAGAGUUUAUUGUUGCUAAACUAGCACAGACCACAAGAAACUUCUUUAUAUCGGUACAUAGACCAAAAGAACCUACAGCUAGGAUGUAUGAAGAUUUUGAAAAUCAAAAGCAAAAAAGAACCAAAGUCUCACGUCAUCAUAGUAUAUGAUAGCAAGAAUCAGGCUAUGUCAGAAAAUAUCAGGCGGUCAUUAGGCAACACCUACUCACAAAGCUUAGAAAUCAUUAAGCCUUUCUAACUACUGAUGAAUCUCAGAAACAAACUUCUUACCAAAGCAAAAUUAGAUGCACUAAUUAAUUUUAAUUCAAAUUUAUAGUAGUUAUUCCAUUCACAUUUGAUGACCUGACUGUACAGAAUGUGGAUCCGUAAAUCAUUUAGAAUGCAGCAUAGAGGCGAAUUCCCUAUGCCUUAUGGUUCAUAUACCAAUAGAAGUAUAAGAGUAAUUAUAACACGGUAUGAUAUGGUUAACUAUUUCAGCAUCCUAAUAGUUCAAUCAGCUUCAUCUCUUUGCACAGUGGCGUUUGUUCUGCAAAGCUUCUUUUCUACGUAUCAAUGAUGUUUCCACUCGUUUUUCAAUACUUAAGCAGAUAACUUGAAAACUACUUAACACCUAGCUACAAUAAUAAAAUGCAACAUUUCACACAGCAAGAACAAAUGAUAGAAGAGAAAGAUGGAAUGUCCUUGGACCAAAGUACCUAGACAAGAAUAAUAGGCAAGAAGAUACAAAUCAUUACCUGUACGUAUUAGAAUCAAUAGAUUCAAAGCUUUGCAAAGCUCUCUUGUUCAACAUUGCCUCAACACCAGAUUUAUGGCUUAGAAACUCACUUAUAUGCAAUGAUUUACUGUCUCCACCAAUACUGUCAUGUUUGGGGAGCUUAAUUCUGUCCUUCUUCCUGGCAGAAAGGUUUGCUCUCUUAGCAUCUGAGUUUGACAAGUUAGACUUGAUCACUUCGACAACUCCAGCUCUCUUCCUGAAAAUCCUCAUUUUCAUUUAGCCAUAAUAGGAUGAGGAAAAAAAGAAGAUUGAACACUCACUAAUCAAUUUGUUUCUCUUACUUCCCCUCUUAGUCCGUUUAAAAGAAAACGUCUCUUUCCUUUUUUGGCAACUCUCUAGUUCUAACUUUCCACGUGACAUGAAUAAGACCACAAAAUUAAAACGCAUUUUCGUACAAUCUACAUAUCUUUAGUUUAAGACCACGUGGUUCAAAAAUAAACAGACGGAGUAUUUACUUAGAUACACAAUCAUUCCCUUUCAGUCCUUCCUGCCUUUACUUCUCUACUCUUUAAUCUCUUAUCAUUGUAAAACAGACAAAGCAUAAGGCUAACAACAAGUCAUGAACAUAUCUCUGAAAAAACAUGAAAUUUAUUGUUCAAUAGGAACAAAUUUGUGAAAUUUUUUCUUGAUUCUACUAUGACUGAACUAAAAUCAUAUCAUUUAACAAAAUAACACUAACCCCACCCCAUCCCCUCCCACCCCACCAACCCAACAAGAACAAUUUCAUAAUUUAACAUGAGCAACAUAGUCAAAAAUCAAAACAAGAUAACACCACUUGGGUUGCAUAAGAGUAAAUUCACCUUGAAAAGGAGCAUUCUUGGAAUUGAAAUGAUGGAAUUGAGCAAGACCCAUAUUGAAUAACCCUCAUAACUACUUGUUGAUGGGCAGCUUCUAAGCUUUAAUUUACAAAUUAAUGUGUAAUAGCCAUGGCAUUGAGGAGAAAUUGAAGCAAAGUUAUGGUUUUUUUUAAGCUGGGAAAGUGGGUGUGUGCACAUUAUGUGUUCCUCCAUGUUAGGGAGUUUGGCUCAUCACCAUAUCUAUCCAUUCACGUGUACAACUUGGAAAGAGCAACUCCAAAAAAAUAGGGAUUUUUAUUGGUUUCGAUAAUAAUUUUAAAUUAAUUUAUAAAAAAAUUUAGUCUAUAAUUAAAUUUAUAGAUUUUAAAUAAAAUUUACAUUUUUUCUAUUUAAUUUAUUGGUUAAAUCAAUUUUUGCACACUUGUAAUUGUAAAUAGAGGAAAUAAUUUGUGCGUACAUAAGAUUUGUAGAAAAUUGUGAUUCUUUUGCUUUAAUUUAUGUGAUAUAUGUUUUUAGUCUAUUGUAAAGAAUUUGAUAUUAUGUUUUUCGAAUUCCAAAUAUUAUAUUUAGAAAAAUAAAUUUCUUAAAAAUAAGGAAAAUGACGAUUAUAAUGAAAUGGAGAAAACAAAUUAUAUGAAAUUUCAUAUGGAUUAUAUCUUCUCUGCUCUUCGCACAUCAUCUUUAUCUUACCUAACUCUCGCCCUUUGCAUUACCUCUAUCAUCUCUGAUAUUUAUUUAAAUUAUAUAUAAAUAUAUUUAGAAUCUAACAAAUAUAAAAAAGAUGUCUUCAACCGUCAUAUUAGUGUAGAAAAAUAUACUUUUUCAGAUUCUCUAUGGGCAUUCCAACAGGAAUAAUUAUGUUGUCUAGACGAUAAAUAAUAAGCAAUAUUACCUAAUUAGAAACAGAUAUUGUAUAGUUCAAUCCAAAUGCACUAAAUUUCAAAUAAAUCAUAUUUAUUGUUUGAUCAAAAAAUUCGUCUAAAGCCAUGUUCUCGAGCCAAUUACAUCCGUCAAAUUGGAGAUGAUAAGUUUGUCUUUCUAUCCUUCUUCACUUAAAUGACGAUGUUAGUUCGUUUGUCACAAAACUCACCUAUUGAGAUCGAAAUUUAUUAAAAAAAAAGUUUUAUGUCAUGAUGUUCAUUUACAGCAUCCUCUGUAUUGAAGAUCAUAGCAAUCAAAAUACAAACUAAUCAAUUCUUAUUGAAUUUUAAUUGCUUUAUUUAUUAUUUUAUAUUGUAAUAUUUAAUAACUUGAAAAAAUUAUUAUUCUUCUUUACUAUGACUAUAUAUAACCUGUCAAAUUAUAAAAAAUAAUUUGAAAAGAUUUUUCAUUGAUCAAUUUGGACUAGAUAUCAGCUCAAAUUUUGAUGGACUAAAAUGAAUUGAACUGAAAUGAGUUGAGCUAAUAAAUAAGUGGGUCAAUAAUCAGUUCAAACUUAAAUAAAUUAGACAAAUUAUCAUUCUCAUGAGCUAAUUUUGCCGGCAAGAAGGCAGUGUUAGUGGAUCAAUAACACAUGCAAUAUGAUAUGACAUACUCCCUCCAUCCCAUUUUAUGUGACACUUUUUAGAUUUCGAGAUUCAAACAAGUAUUUUAAACGUAAGUUUUCAUAGAUCUUUUAAACAUUUUGAAUUACCAAUUGUUGUGAUUUAUAGUACUUUUACGUAGUUUACAAAUAUAUAAAUUUCAUUUAAUUUUUUUUGAAGAUUUCAUGCACAAAUUCCCGGUCAAACUUAUACUGUUUGACUCUCGAAAAUGAAAAGUGCCACAUAAAUUGGGACAGAGGGAGUAAUAAAUUUUUAUACAAUUAAUAAUUAUACCUCAUUAUCAAACAACAACAACAAUAAUAACAUAUUCAAUGAAAUCCCACAAUUGACGUGUGUGAUAGAUGAAAAUAGAUAUAAAAAACUAGAACUAACAAGAAUAGAGUAACCAACCUGAAUCCUCGAAAAUAAGUCAACACUCAACCUACUAACCUAAUACGCAACCAUCACACCUUCGUAUUUAAGAUCAUAUCAUAAGUAAUCUGAUGUUGUGUCAUGUCCUGUCUAAAAUAGAGACCAAUUCACCAGAUAUGUAUUUUCUAUAACAACUCAUAUUCUAUUAUACUCGCUUUGUCCCAAUUUAAGUGAAAUAUUUCGAAUUUCGAGAUUCAAACAAGUCUAUUUUUGAUUGUAAAUUUUUCAUAUAUCUUUUAAAUAUUCUGGAUUGUCAAUUAUUGUGAUCUAUAGUACUUUUUAUGUAGUUUGCAAUUAUAUAAAUUUCAUUUCAAAAAAAUUGAAGAUGUCAUGCCCAAACUCCCGAUCAAACUUAAAUUGUUUGACUUUCGAAAAACGAAAUGUGUCACAUAAAUUGGGAUAAAAGGAGUAUUAUUUUUCUAUUCCAAAAUUCUUAAACGUGAGUGCCAAGAAACAAACCAAGAUAGAAUCCUAGCCAUCCAUUUUGAUUAACCAAAACUUAAUCACAACCGUUAAAUUAAUUACCAAAAAAACAAAACAAAUCACUAUAUUCAAAUUCUAUUAAACCCCGCCAAAACCUGUAACAAGAAAAACUAACUUUCUUUCUUACAAGCUCUGCUUCAAUGUCGACUACACCCAAAUCAGCAAAGAAACUCCCGUUUAUCGACCUCCAUAGUGACGAUGAUAAGCUUCGUAAAGCAGCAAAAACUCUCUUGAAUUAUUCCAAAAAAUACUUCCCAAAUUCUUUAGUUGAGGAACUUUUCCAAGCAAUUGAAUGUAGCCCACCAGGAUCACGUACAGUAUUCUCUAUUACAAUGUUUUAUGCGAUGUUUUACCAUCCCUUUGGACCAAACUUUCGUUAAGUAAGCGAAAUGACUUGAAGAUCCGUUUACAUGAAAAGGUUUGGCUUGAAACAGAUUAUGAAACACUCAAGGCUUGUUCAUCUUGUGUAUCGAGUUUAGCGGGUUUACUUUUCCCUAAAAAUGAAUGGGUUUUAUUGUUUCACUUAAUGUUUGAGUAUUUGGGUACGAAUUCAUCGAACGGAAAAUUGUGUGUUAUGCUUUUAUGGAAUGAAUUGAUACCAAAAUGUCCUGAGGUUUUUGUACCUUAUGUUGAUUUUUUGAUUGAGGGGUUUACAGACCUUAUGCCUACUAUAUUGGAAGAUCAUCGAUGUAGGGUUGCUGCUGCUAGGGCUUCUGUGAAAUUGAUUUUGUAUUAUUCAACUCCCGCGAGUUAUUGCAAGUUUUAUGGUCUUUUAGAACAUGUGAUAGUGACUUUGUUUGUGGCAAUUGGUGAGGAAGAUCUUGUGUGUAGCCUUCUUGAGGAUUUGAUUGUUUUGGUUGGGGUAGAGACCGCGGUUUUUAAAGUUAAUAUCGGUGUUGUGGUUAAGUAUAUGGUGAGGAUAGCUGAGAAUUCGAAGUUAGGGGAAAAGUUAAGGCAGCUAUCUAUAGAGUUUAUUGUUACUUUGGCUGAGGAUAGGGAGAUUGGGUGUGGGAUGAUGCAGAUGGUACCAAAAGAAGAAGUUACUAAAUUGCUUAGUGUGUUGAUUGUGAUGUUGGUGCAUAUUAAAGAUGACCCUUGUUGGGGAAAUGCAAAUAGUGAUGAUGAAAAUGAAGGGCAGUUGAGUAUGUGUAGUUAUGCUAUGGAGAGUUUGGAUAGGCUAGCAAUUGCAUUAGGGGGAAGUGUAAUUGUGCCUUGUUGCGCUGUGGGCUUGUUCGACCUCUUUCAUGAUCAAAAUUGGAGAAUUCGUCAUGCUGCCGUUACUGCAAUUGGACUGAUUUCAGAAGGAUGCUCAAAGGUAGUAUUCACUCUUUCUGCUGCGUACACAGCGUACACACUACCUCUCUAGAUCCACUUAUGGGAUUACACUGGAUUACUUUUGGCAAAUGAAAUACGUUUUGAGUUUGAUUUCUGGUCUGGAAAUUCCCAGGCAUUGUUACUGGAGAUGGAGAAACUUGUGCAGACUAUUGUGAAACUAAUCCAUGAUGAGCACCCUCGAGUAUGUUGGGCGAAAAUUCGUACAAUUGGUCAGCUAUCAACAUAUCUGAGCCCUUGUUUUCAAGAGCAAUAUCAUCAGCAGCUCCUUCGAGCUUUGAUAGAAGUAUUGGAUGAUAUUGAUAAUCCCAGGUUGCAGGUACUUUUAAUGACAUAUGACCAAUGUAUUAACUCUUUGUUCUCUAAUUGAGAACUUUUGACAUAUCAAAACUUAUCCAUUGCAAGUACAUCUGGUUGCCGACUAAUACUCUCUUGUGUAUAGACACGUGCAGCUUCAGCGAUACAGUUGUUCAGUCAAAAUUGCAGUGCAGAUGUCUUGAAACCUUACCUGCACAAUACUGUGCGUAAAUUAGUUGGGUUUCUACAGGUAAUGUCACCUUUACCAAUCUACAACAUAUUUAUUUGUUCACGUGUAUAAGAGUAAAUGACAUAAGCUUUUAACUGUCAAAUCUCUGAUGUGAUUUGAGUUUAUAUUUAACAAGUAACAUGCUGCAUAUUCCAGAGAGGAACGGCAAUGAUGAAGGAAGCAUCUCUUGCAACUUUAGCCUCUUUAGCUAUUUCAUCACAGGUACUUUACUUUCAGGGGUUCAAAAAGAACUCUUUUUUUCCAAUGCUCGAUGUUCUAAACUUCAUUUGCUUGGGACACUGCAGGAGGACUCUGCAUACUUAUACGAUUCUCUAAUGCCUUAUCUGAAAGUUAUCUUGGAAACUGUUACUAAUGAUACAAGUCGCACGCUACUGGCCAAAUCCAUGGAAUGCAUUACCAUGGCUGCAAUGGCUGUUGGAAAUCUAGCAAUCAAUGAUUAUGUUGAAAAGGUGAAUACAAUUUAUAAAUUUCCAUUAGCACUUAGCAGGCAUUAUAUAAAAGUGAAACUAUCAACAUCACUUAAGAUCUGAAAAUGCAUUUACCUUAUGUGAUAUGUUAUUUUAGGUCACUGCAGUACUCAUUUCACUGCACGAAACUCAAACGGUGAUAGAAGAUCCAAUGAGGAGACUUUUGUUACUAGUAUGUUGAUACAACUUAGAAUUUUGUGCAACUUUCAUUUUCUUUUCUUUUCUGUUUUUGGCUAAUUUACACUUUGAUUCUAUGACAGGAAUGCGGUAGACUAUGUAAAUUUUUGGGGGCAGAUUUCCUUCCUUAUCUGAGUCUUGUCAUGCCCGUUGCGCUAAAAUCUGCUUUGCUAAAGAACUAUUUGAGUGUUUCCGAUAAUUCAGAUACAGAUGAUUCUGAUUAUGAAAGGUUGGAUCUUUUACUAUAACAACUCGUACGAAGUUUUAUUUAGAUGGAUGGCAUAUGUAUUAGUACUAUCACUAUGUAAUGAUGUAGAUGGUUGUGAGUUUUCAUACAAUUUCAUUUCAUUUCAUGAUGUAUUAAGAGUUCCGCACAUGCUAUACCAUAUGAAACUGCUAUGUCGAAUUAUAACGUAAAUAAAGUGAAUAUGUUAAGUGACUUCUGUGUAUCUUCCUGUUUAUUUAGAGACAACAUCUCCGAGUCAAAGGAAAACAUCUGGUAUUUCCGGGCACUUAAGGUUUCACAGAUGUUUCAUGAGGCUAUUAGUCACUGCACUUAAAUAGUACAGUUUGAUGAGAUAAAUUUCUAUUACCAACCUUUAAUUGCAGUCUUUCGGAAACAGCCUCUCUACCUUCCAAGGUAAGGGUAAGGUCUGUGUACGCACUACCCUCUCCAGACCCAACUUGUGGGGAUUACACUGGGUAUGUUGUCGUUGUUGUUGUAACCUGAAAUUGCAGGAAAAAAGUGAAAUAAGCAACUUUAAUGGAAUAAAUUUAUUGAGGAUGUCUUCAGCUGACAUAAAUAUCUUCUGUAGCAUGAUUAAAGCCACUGCUGGGAAUAAAAAGAUCGGGAUAAGAGCUGCACUUCUGGAAGAGAAGGCCUUGGCCUGUCAUAUGCUAUGCUUCUUCUCAACUGAGUUAAAGGAAGGGCUGCAUUUAUGGGUUAAUGAGGUCUGUCUAGAAAAUGACAGGUCAUAGCUAAUCUCAUUUACAAGGCUUACAAAGUAGCAUGCAGAUUUUUACUUAAUUUGUGGUUUAUGCAGGUUGUUAGUGCUUUAGUUCAGAAUCUUACUUUUAAAUUCAGCGAAGAAAUUAGAAUGGCUGCCGUUUCUGGUAAAUUUUCUACAUGUGUCUUCAUCUAAUCAUUCAUUUCCGCAUUAUAAAACAAACCCCGUUGUUUGCUAAAUUGCAUUUAUUCCUUUUUGUAGCAAUGCCGUUGCUGUUAAAUUCAGCUUCUUGUGCUAUGAAGAAAGGGCUGCUUGUAACAGGUCAUGGCAAGUCCCCAGUUCAAAAGCUAUCUGACACUAUUAUCUCAUCUUUGCUUGAUGCAUUAAAAAAGGUAAUUUACCUAGUGUUGCAGCAAAAGUUUAAUCAAUAGUGAUACGAUCCUUAGGAAGUUUUACUUUCCCUUUAGGAGUCAAAGGUACAAAUUCAAGCAAGACUAUUGGAGGCAUUCAACGAAAGCAUACAGGUUAAUAACUCUUUUGUCUUCUGUAUAGCUUAUUUGUCUGUGCACUAAGAAGUACUUAUUACAGGUUCCGGGUUCAUGUCUAAGUAAACACCAAGCUGAAAAAUUUGUUGAUGGCAUAUCAAAGGUCCUCUCCAGAUGCUCAUACCGCAAAACAGAAAGAGAGAAGCGAGCUAAAGAACACACAGAUUCAAGGGAGCAGGAACUACUUAAGGAGGAAGCUGAGCAACACUUAACUAUAUGUAGAAACGUUAGUGUUUUAUCUCAACAUAGCCUCUAAUAUAUAUAUAUAUAUAUAUACUUAACAGGAUCUUAGACUUACCUUCAUCGGUUUCUUUGUUUUCCUGAAUUCAGAUUGGCAUUUGCCUUGGAACUAUGGUGAAAAAACUAAAGGCAUCAUUCUUGCCACAUUUUGACAAGUUUUUGCCUUAUGUAUCACUUAUGUGGGUAAGUCACUCUCGCUUUUGAUGUACUAUAUGUAUAAUUCAAUUCAUGACACCUCUUACUGAAGCAUCAUAAGUAGCUAAAUUGAUAUAAACUUCUCGUUAAACCAGUCUAUCAAGAAAUUCUAAGGGGAACUUUUAAGGUUUCUUUGACCUUACACAUUUCCUUUUCACUUUUCUACAUACUUCUGUACAGAGUAAUGAUAGAACAGCAGAAGAAAGAAGAAUUGUAGUGCACCUUUUUCGUGAUGUUGCUGAGCAGUGCCGAGAAGAAGCAUUCAGGCACGUCUUGCAAUUUUCAGUGUCUUAUUAAUCAUGAUAAGCUCAGUUGGCUUAGCUGAGCGUCUUUUUUAUUAUUUUAAAAAUCAGGUACUAUGAGGACUGGAUAUCUCUCCUGCUUAGAAUGCACAAUCAUGAGAAUCCAGAUGUUAUGCAGGUUUUCUAUUUUUUCCUUCUUUUACUAUUUGUUUCCCUAGUAAGUCUUUUAUAUAUCCUUCAAACCUGACAUUCUCUAUCUUUUCAGAUCGUGGCAACUGCAAUUGGUAUUUGUGCUGAAUUCGGAGCAGAUUUCCUUAAGCCUCAUAUUAAAGGUAGCUUUGUGCGUUAUAAUAUGCUUAAGGUAUCUAUUUUCUCCACUAGCAGCAUCUGACUUAGCUGCUUAAUGGUGUUUGCAGGAAUACUCGGUCAUUUAAAAACUGCACUGGAGAAUCCUAAUGCAAAACACCCCGAUAACAUCAUGGCUUAUGAGGCUGCUGUUUCUACCUGUGGAAAGUUAAACCAGUUUGUCUCAGAAGGCAUCUCCUAUGAGGUGCUCUCUUACUACUCCUUCCUAUAUCAUUCCAAAAGAAAACUUCAUACACUAGAACACACAUACGAUUUCUCUUGAUUGUAGUUUUGAUAAAUUUGUCAUUUGUCGACUGACAUAUCAUAAAUGUUCUUGUCUCAGUACAUCCUGCUCUGGCUUAACCACUUACCAAUAACGUGUGAUCUUGAUGAGGCUAAAAUCAGCCACGAACUGCUUUGUUCAAUGAUGGAGACGUAAGUAUUCCCUGUAGGCUACAGCAAUAAGUAAUCAAUGAUUAUCAGAACUUCAACAUUUCUUAUGCAUGCUUGCAACUGUGCCUUGAUCUUUCAGGUCAGAGCAGAAAGUUAUUGGCCUUGGCGGAUCUUAUAUACCGAUUAUAAUAGCAAUUUUUGCUGAGGUAGUUUUCCUUUACAGUAGUACCCUUCAUCUUAUAUGCACUAAGAUUUCCUCCAUUUCAUAAGUUUAUCUUUAUCCUCUAGGUUUUAUGGGCAGGGAACAAUUUGGCCUCAGAAGAAACUAGGACGCGAAUUAUCAAUCUAUUGAAGAAGUUCCAAAGAGAACUGGAGCCUCUUGUGUUGUCCAAAAUAUUUGAAACAUUACCUUUACCACAUCAAAACAUGUUGCGCAUCGUCUUGUCCACCUAGUAAACUGUUUGUGCAUUCUUUGAGUAGAUAGAUACAUGUACAGAAUGGAAAUAGCUAACGGGAAAAAUCGCAGACUCAUACUUGUAGAGUGAGAAAGAUUACUGUAAAGAGUGAUUGUAUACAUUGUAAAGGAGAUUUUUGUGUAUUAAAGGAAGUUACUAGCCAAGAUCAUUUGGCACUGAGGUUGUUUUGUAGUCCAUUGAAGUGUACUAAUUGAACAUUGUUACAUUUUGGUCUAUAAAAUUUGAAUAACCAUAGUUUGAUCACAUAAUACAGUUAAAUCAUCAUGAAACAAUCAGGGAUAAAACAAGCAUUUAGAGGAAGUGAAGCUCCAUGACAAACACAAACACUAGUUCAGAAGGGAACGAAUAAAUGGCGUAAGAUAAACAUAUCCAUCAGAUCAUCAUUAUAUUGAAAUAAUAUGAAUUCGUUCUACUAAUACUAGACAAUUUGUGAAAGCUACUAACUUGCUUAACAUCAUCAAGGCAAGCUUCGGAGGCAAACUUCAAGUUACAUAAUCAUUUGUGUUUUGAUGACCGUGAUGUCCAGGACAGCUUGUAUGGACCUCAACUAAUAUUACUUACACGGUAAUGCUUUGAUACCUCGCAGCAGUAUACUGAAUAACUAUGUCCACCUAGCCUUGAGUAGAUAGACAUAGAUUUUCAUUUUGAAUUACCAUUUGUUUUCAUUAAACAAGAGACAAAAGAAACUGAAAUCCAAUUCGAGUCCAACAAGUUUUGACUUUUGAUUUUGAAAAUUGUUGCCUAUGAAAUAAGCGGAUUUGAAUUUCCAAUUUAUCUUAAAUUAAAAAAUAAAUAUAAAAAAUUUAAAUGUGCUCGAGGGAAAUCAAACCCCCAUUCAAAAGGCAAACUAAGCUAAAGCAAGUUUCAUUAUUUUUUAAAAUAGGAAUAAAAUCAUUAAACUGUGCUUGCUUCAUGGGCAAAACAUCAAGUUUAACAAAUUUCGACCUAUGGACAAAUAUUUUGAUUUCUGAUCUUAAAAGUUGUCUAUGGGUUAGCGGGGGUCAAAAAUUUGAAAACGAUCCAUUUCUAAGGUCAUUGCAUAUAACAACUUUCACAUAUAGCAAACAUAAAAAUCAUAUUUAUAUGUUAUAGUUAUAGUUUGUAUAAUUGCGCUUCAUAGUAAACUUUAUGUUUGCUAUGGAGCAUCAGAUUAUAUAACUCGCUGGUAGGAGCUUCAGAUUUGUAUAAUUUCGUUGACAGACUAUUUGUAUAAAUCGCUGACAGCCUCUCGUUUGUAUAAAUCGUUGGCAGCCUCUCAAUUCAAUUUUAUGUGUUUGUAUAUAUCUGCAUAAAAUUUGAAUUUUUAUACAAUUGAAUCGAAAUAAAACAUUUGUAUAUCAAAUCUCUCUCUCUCGCUUUAUACAACACAAAUUAUACAUUGUAAUUUGUAUAAUCUAUGUUUGUAUAAAGCGAGAAAAAUAGAAAGGCAAAAGAGAACUGGGCCAGAGAAGAUUUAUAUUUGUAUAGUUAUAAGUGUAUAGGACGAAAAUAUAUGUAUUCGUAUUUGUAUAUACAGUUUUCUCUCGCUUUAUACAAACACAAACGCAUUUUAUACAUUUGUGUUGGUAUAAAAAGCGAGAGAGGCGAGGGAGAGAUUGGCGAGAGUGGCGAGCGAGAAACCUAGGGAGAGAGGCGAAUGUCAACUGUUUGCUACGGAUUACUAUUAAAUCAAAUUGUGAUUAUAACAUUUAAUUUGAAUUAAUAGUUUGCUAUUUUAUACAAUUUUAUCUUUCUUAAAAUUGAAUAGUUCACCUAAAUUAGCCUGGACACUAAUAGGUUUAUUAAAAAUGGGCCGACUUUAGAGUCCACUUUUUUAUGGGUUCUCACUUUUUGGGCUUCAAAGAGCCCAAACUCAUCUUAGGUGAGACCAACGAGUAUAGAAAGCCCAAAUAUACUAAACAAUUGCUAACUUAACUAUAAGGGGUCGUUUGGACUUGGAGUGAUGGAUAAGGGGAGUUACUUUCGGGCUAAAUUUUGAGUAGCCUUUAAUCAUUUGUUCGUUUGGUGUGAUGGAUAAAUAUAAAUAGUCUUGGGAUUAAAAAAAAUAGUCCAAGAAUAAAAUUUUGGUGUCUUGUUUGGUUGCCGUGUUUGGGAUAACUUAUCUCACCAUUUAUACCACAGUGAUGAGACAAGUUAUCUCAUAUACAUGGUGGGAUAAAUUAUCCCGGGAUAACUAGUCUUGGGAUAACUUGUUCCCGACCAAAUGAUCCCUAAGUAGUGGACGUCUUUUUAAUUUUUAUUUUUUAAAAUACAAAUAUUCCAUUAGACAGAGUACAUAGAGGUUAAAUUUAUAACAACGUAUGCUUGUAAUUUAGACGAAACACUCCAAUUUGUUUUUACUGAGUUUCGUAAAUAUCUGAUGUUGAUGUGAUUCAUAAUUUUUUUGAAUUUGUUUAAAUGAUGAUUUUGUAAGUUGAAGUGUUCAACUGACACAAUAAAAACAAGAUGAGGUGUCUAGAUGUUCAUACUCAAAAUUGAAGUAUUUACUUAUCAUACGUCAACAUUUACGAAGGUCAGGAACAUGAUAAUCACACUAUCAAGUUCAAGAAGAUAAUCAAAACUAAAACAAUUUAAAUAUCAUAGGAUUGAACAAAUAAACACAUAUAUUCUAUAUGUAAAAUCAAAUCAUCAUACUAAUAAAGACAAUGAUAUAGCAAUUUGGAAAAUAAUAGAUACUUGAAAAAAAAAAGAGAUUUGCUUAAAUGCGUAUGUUUAUAUAUAUAGGCCAAAUUGAAAGACGUAGAUGUCAUCUGAAUUCAAAAUUAAGGAAUAUAUUUGUGUUUUAUGCCUUGAUUUUUUAAGUAUCUAUCGUUUCCAAAUUUAUCACUGCCUUUAUUAGUAAAAUAUUUUGAUUUCACACUUGUUGUACAUCAUCUCACUUACACAUUUCUUACCAACCCAAUCUUGAAAGUUCAAAUAACAUGUUUUGGUAAUAAAAAUGCAAAAACAUCUUCUUCUUCAUUUUAAUUAUUAAUCAACAAAAAGUGAUUAUUAUCCUCUAUCAUCACAAUACAUAUAUUUCUUUUUGGCUAGCAAAAAUCAACACCCAAAACCUUUGAUGGAAAAAAAAAUGCAACUAUUUAGCCUUAUAUAUUCUUCAUUUUUUUGUAAUUUUUUUUUUCUAGUUGAAGAAAAUAGCACACAUUUUUUUCACUAAUUUUUUUUUUGAACAUGUAGAAUCUUUUGUAGGGCUACCCUCCAAUUAAUUCUCAAUAAACAAAAAGAUAUUUUCUUGGUGAAUCCUAAGCCACUCGAUCAUUUGACAAGGACAACUAACAUAUUGUACCCCAUACAAAUAUAGCCCACUAGUACUUAGAAUUCUGUGUUCAUAGUUAGAUGAAAAGAACAUGUGUCUGAACUAACAUGGGUUGUGGCAGGAGCACUUCAUUCUUAAUCAAAGGUUUCAAGAUUCGAGUUUUGUAUAUGAAGAAAAUUUUGUUGAAUGCGCUAUUCCAAAUGGAUCAUGCUAUGCAUGCAGUGCGUGAUCCGAAUUUAGUAGGGGCUCCCAUGUGGGCUCCGAAUACUAAAUGAGAAACCAAAAAAGGAAAAAGAAGUGGCCAACUUACCAGCAAACGAAAAAAUUCUUAGUAAUAUCUUCUUUUCUUUUCCUUUUUUAAUCUAGAAGUGGUCGUUUAAUUUGGCUUUGUGAUAUGAAGUUAAAGUGUUAUUUGGAUAUGCGAAUUUUUUAUGUUGUAUGUUUCUCAUACAUAAAACUCUCAUAAGUUGUAAAAUUAUUCAAAUUGUCUCAAAUCUUUAUACUAUAUUACCAAAUAAGUAAAAGCUUACAAAAUCUCAUAAUACACUAUCACAAAACUAUUCUAAAAAAUACAACAUAAAUUGAUCAAACUUAAUUUAAUAAAAAAAUCAAAAUUGAACAUUGGUUGGUAAUAAAUAGAUUAUAUAAGGUUAUUUAUUUUUGGGGUUUAUAAUUACAUGACAUAAAAAUAAUCUUUAUAUUUUAUCAUGUCAAGUUUAUUUUAAUGAUAAAUGAAGUUGAGUGAUUUUUUAAGAUAAAAACUUUAAGUUGAGUGAUUUUAUUGAUUCAAAAUAAAGUUCAAUGACUUUACUAGAUAAUUUUCUAUAGUUCAAUGACCUUUUAAGAUAUUAACUCUGAAUUUGGUGAAUAUAAAUAGUAAAGUAGGAAUUGAUUUGAAGUAAUAUCAAACUGGUGAGAAUAAUUGUUAUAUGAGAUAUAAAUGAUUUAAAAAGUAAUGGUAUGAAUUUUAUAACUUUAUUUAUAUAUCAAAAUAAAUGAUCAGUAGUUAUAAAUGAGAAUGUUCUUUUACAAAAUAUAAAUUUGUGGGUCAAGUUUUAUAUUUAACAAAUCCCAAAUCAUGAGUUUUGGAGAAUUUGAGAUUUCAUCUCACGAGAUGAAAUCAACGUGAAAUCACAUGUCCAAACAUUGAUUUCAUCUUAUGAUUUCAUAACACGAUAUGCACAUGACCAAACACCUACUUAAUUCAACUGUUUAUUUGUAUUGAAAUUUUCAUAAAAUAUUUACUAAUAUUAGAUUUAAAACUUAGUUAUUAUUAUUUGAAGUUGUUAUCCUAAAAUUCCGAACUCAUAAAGUUGAAAUCUUGUUUCUUCUUCCAAAUCCGUUACGAUGCAUGUUUAACUCUCUCCCAAUUUAUGUGACAUCUCUUAUGUAGUGGACCUAGAAUUUUCAUUAAGAGGUGUCAAUGGUUGUAAUAAAAAAUAUAAUUAUGAGGCUAGUAGGACCUAACACACGACCUCAAGAAAUUUUCA
Molecule: long non-coding RNA, 20894 nt
Filed under: Solanum tuberosum (potato)
Lineage: Eukaryota; Viridiplantae; Streptophyta; Magnoliopsida; Solanales; Solanaceae
Description: long non-coding RNA (STUB_LNC008409)
Source: RNAcentral